CGUGAGCAACCUACCUUCGAGUUUGGGAUAGCCCUGAGAAAUCAGGAUUAAUACCGAAUGUGGUCACGACGAGACAUCUCGACGUGAGUAAAGGCGAAAGCCGCUCGAUGACGGGCUCGCGGCCUAUUAGCUUGUUGGUGGGGUAACGGCCUACCAAGGCGAUGAUGGGUAGCUGGUCUGAGAGGACGAUCAGCCACACUGGAACUGACACACGGUCCAG
This 220-nucleotide ribosomal RNA is filed under the name uncultured bacterium. RNAcentral's name for it is "partial 16S ribosomal RNA". It matches the Rfam family "Bacterial small subunit ribosomal RNA", at positions 116 to 334 of the family's 1533-position model. The record is from RNAcentral.